Diplogelasinospora grovesii is the source of this 118-nucleotide non-coding RNA. NCBI's taxonomy places the organism in Eukaryota, Fungi, Ascomycota, Sordariomycetes, Sordariales, Diplogelasinosporaceae. The record is from the annotation of a GenBank genome assembly.
GCCCGAUAGCUCAGCUGGUUAGAGCGUCGUACUAAUAUGUCCAGCGUCGUACUAAUAUGUCCUCAACGGUCAUGUCAAGUAAAUGCGAAGGUCAACAGUUCAAUCCUGUUAUUGGGCA